AGGAACUUAGGAUAAAGAGACCAAGAGCCUUCAAAGCCCUUAGCAGGAGUUAAAAUCUCCUAGUUUCUG
Molecule: transfer RNA, 69 nt
Filed under: Minervarya manoharani
Lineage: Eukaryota; Metazoa; Chordata; Amphibia; Anura; Dicroglossidae
Description: tRNA-Trp
Rfam family: tRNA
About the family: Transfer RNA (tRNA) molecules are approximately 80 nucleotides in length. Their secondary structure includes four short double-helical elements and three loops (D, anti-codon, and T loops).
Source: RNAcentral